GGGGGUGUAAAGGUUUCGACGGGGGUGUAGAAACAGCAGAAGCGAGCCGCAGUCGCCCAGUCUGCGUUAAAAAGGGCCGUUUAAAUAUAAACGCUAAAAAUAAUAAUAACAAUUUCGCACUGGCUGCAUAAGCAGCGCUGCGUGUCAGCUCCGGUUUCCCUGUAGGCCGGAUGCCUGGCAUCGAAUUAUACAGGAAAACCUUACAGACUUUCCCGGAUCUGCAAGGGAACAACGGGAUAGCGGAUCUAUCAGCCUGCUGACGGGCGGACAGACGAGCGAAACCUAAACCAUCAGCUGCGCUCGGAGAAACUGCUGCGGAAAUGCUUUCGGACAUGGGUUCGACUCCCAUCAUCUCCACCA
Eubacterium sp. is the source of this 360-nucleotide non-coding RNA. It matches the Rfam family "transfer-messenger RNA". Rfam says of the family: Bacterial tmRNA, also known as 10Sa RNA or SsrA, is named for its dual tRNA and mRNA-like properties. Its role is to liberate the mRNA from a stalled ribosome. To accomplish this part of the tmRNA is used as a reading frame that ends in a translation stop signal. The record is from Rfam. Lineage: Bacteria; Bacillati; Bacillota; Clostridia; Eubacteriales; Eubacteriaceae.